UACAGAGACACAAGUACAGGCGACUGGGCAUCUUCCUGGAAUCUGGCUGUAGUCAACAUGUUUAUUGGUCGUGGAAGGAGCAGCUACAGCCAAGAGUAGAGAUUAAUAACAUUAUGCAGGAAGAGUCAUCUGCUUUGGAACUUCCUCCCAUGGGAGGGUGACUUCAACAAUAACAGCCAACCUUAUUGUGUUUUGACUACAUUCAGGUCACUGUGCUUAGUGCUUGAUAACGACCACGACCAUAACAACUGUCAACAUUGAUGGGAUGCUUACUACCUAGUGAACACUGUGAUAAAAGCUUUCCGUGAGACAGCUUAUUGAAUCUUUACAACAAAUCUAGGAGAAAAUGCCCAAAGACCCAGAGGAAAUAUGGAGCACUCAGCCACUGCAUCCUAGACAUCAACUGUCUCUACUUAAUCAAAUCUGCAUCUCUUCAGGAUGUUUUGCUAACACCUGGAAUAGGGAUGCUUGAAGACAGAAGCACUUGGAAAAACUGCCUGUGCUCCUAUAUCCAUUUCUGUAAUAAUUAAAUAGAAGAAAGAGAAGGAAGAUUGUCUGCACUUGACUAUUAGCCCCGUAUACCUGAUAUAAUCUAACAGCCACAACUCCAGAAAAUGGAUAAUGUUCAGUUCACUUAGGAGAUUUAAAAAAAAUGGAGAUUCAGAAAGAUGAGGUGACUGACCCAAGGAUACCCAGUUAAGAUUGGUUCAGGGUUUAAGCUGGGCCCAUGGUCUUCCUGCUAAACGACAUUGGCUCUGUCAUGACCAUU
Neofelis nebulosa (Clouded leopard) is the source of this 769-nucleotide long non-coding RNA. RefSeq lists it as uncharacterized. The transcript is spliced from 3 exons. The record is from RefSeq and is a predicted model, not a curated record. Lineage: Eukaryota; Metazoa; Chordata; Mammalia; Carnivora; Felidae.